This is a long non-coding RNA of Fundulus heteroclitus (mummichog), 456 nucleotides long. RefSeq lists it as uncharacterized. The record is from RefSeq and is a predicted model, not a curated record. NCBI's taxonomy places the organism in Eukaryota, Metazoa, Chordata, Actinopteri, Cyprinodontiformes, Fundulidae. The transcript is spliced from 3 exons.
AGGUGAGGAGAGACAGACAUGAUGAGACAGGUGAAGAGAGACAGACAUGAUGAGACAGGUGAAGAGAGACAGGUAGAAUGAGGUGGUUGUGGUUUUGGGUCAGUUAAUCCAGGCACAGAGAGACAGGUGAAGCGACAGUUAAUGCAGUGGUUCCCAAGGUGGGGUUGCGCCCCCUAGUGGGGGCCAGUUUAAUUGUAAGAGGGCCGUAGUGUAAAUUAAUUGAAUAAAUGACUCAUUUUGUGAGUUAUUUUAUAAAAUAAAAAAAAUGUUUGAUAGUAACAGAAUUCAGCAUUUCUAAGGAAAAUAAACAGUUAAACUGAAAAUAAUUACACUUUAAUUGUAUCGUUUUGUGAUUUAAAGGAGAUUGCAGUUUAUUUUAUUGUAAUAUGUGAUUUUCUUCAUCUUUUUUUGUUCAACUGCUGAAAAGGUUAGUCAUGUGGUGGGGGUGGGGGUGGG